AUUGAACGCUGGCGGCAUGCCUUACACAUGCAAGUCGAACGGUAACAGGUCUUCGGAUGCUGACGAGUGGCGAACGGGUGAGUAAUACAUCGGAACGUGCCUAGUAGUGGGGGAUAACUACUCGAAAGAGUGGCUAAUACCGCAUGAGAUCUACGGAUGAAAGCAGGGGAUCGCAAGACCUUGUGCUACUAGAGCGGCCGAUGGCAGAUUAGGUAGUUGGUGGGAUAAAAGCUUACCAAGCCGACGAUCUGUAGCUGGACUGAGAGGACGAUCAGCCACACUGGGACUGAGACACGGCCCAGACUCCUACGGAAGGCAGCAGUGGGGAAUUUUGGACAAUGGGCGAAAGCCUGAUCCAGCAAUGCCGCGUGCAGGAUGAAGGCCUUCGGGUUGUAAACUGCUUUUGUACGGAACGAAAAGCCCCGGGUUAAUACCCUGGGGUCAUGACGGUACCGUAAGAAUAAGCACCGGCUAACUACGUGCCAGCCGCCGCGGUAA
Molecule: ribosomal RNA, 498 nt
Filed under: uncultured bacterium
Lineage: Bacteria
Description: partial 16S ribosomal RNA
Rfam family: Bacterial small subunit ribosomal RNA
Source: RNAcentral